Molecule: ribosomal RNA, 367 nt
Filed under: Cerrophidion tzotzilorum
Lineage: Eukaryota; Metazoa; Chordata; Lepidosauria; Squamata; Viperidae
Description: partial 12S ribosomal RNA
Source: RNAcentral
CGCCAAAUAACUACGAGUCAUACUUAAAACUUAAAAGACUUGACGGUACUUCACCACGCCCUAGAGGAGCCUGUCUGAUAACCGACGACCCNAUAASCCAACCCCUCCUGCCAACAGUCUAUAUACCGCCCUCGCCGCCUACCUWGUAAAAGAAAUAAAGUAGGCUAAACAGUACCACACUAAAACGACWGGUCGAGGUGUAACUUAUGAAGGGGACUAAGAUGGGCUACAUUCUCCAACCGAGAAUACUAAUAACACUACGAAAUUAGUCUUUAAAGGCGGAUUUAGCAGUAAGAUAAGAAUAAAAUACUUAACUGAACAUAACGCAAUGAAGUGCGCACACACCGCCCGUCAUCCCUGCCACCAC